This 254-nucleotide ribosomal RNA is filed under the name uncultured bacterium. RNAcentral describes it as "partial 16S ribosomal RNA". It matches the Rfam family "Bacterial small subunit ribosomal RNA", at positions 524 to 777 of the family's 1533-position model. The record is from RNAcentral.
GACGGAGGGGGCUAGCGUUGUUCGGAAUGACUGGGCGUAAAGGGCGCGUAGGCGGUUUAUUAAGUGAGGCGUGAAAGCCCUGGGCUUAACCCAGGAGGUGCGUUUCAUACUGGUAGACUUGAGUACGAGAGAGGAAAGCGGAAUUCCUAGUGUAGAGGUGAAAUUCGUAGAUAUUAGGAAGAACACCAGAGGCGAAGGCGGCUUACUGGUCCAUAACUGACGCUGAGGUGCGAAAGCGUGGGGAGCAAACAGGG